This 482-nucleotide ribosomal RNA is filed under the name uncultured bacterium. RNAcentral's name for it is "partial 16S ribosomal RNA". It matches the Rfam family "Bacterial small subunit ribosomal RNA", at positions 39 to 507 of the family's 1533-position model. The record is from RNAcentral.
GGGGGGGGGGGGGGGGGGGGGGUGGGGGUGCGGGGCGGGCGGUAGCGGGCGGGGAGGUGCGGAGGGGGGGCGGGCGGGGGGGUAAUGCGUCGGAACGUGCCCAGUCGUGGGGGGUAACUACUCGAAAGAGUAGCUAAUACCGCAUACGAUCUAUGGAUGAAAGCGGGGGACCGUACGGCCUCGCGCGCUUGGGGCGGCCGAUGUCAGAUUAGGUAGUUGGUGGGGUAAAGGCUCACCAAGCCAACGAUCUGUAGCUGGUCUGAGAGGACGACCAGCCACACUGGGACUGAGACACGGCCCAGACUCCUACGGGAGGCAGCAGUGGGGAAUUUUGGACAAUGGGCGCAAGCCUGAUCCAGCAAUGCCGCGUGCAGGAAGAAGGCCUUCGGGUUGUAAACUGCUUUUGUACGGAACGAAACGGCUCUGGUUAAUACCCGGGGCUAAUGACGGUACCGUAAGAAUAAGCACCGGCUAACUACGUG